UUUUUGUUUAAAAUUUAAAGUCUAACCUGCCCACUGAUUGUUUAUUAAAGGGCCGCGGUAUUUUGACUGUGCAAAGGUAGCAUAAUCAUUUGUCUCUUAAUUGGAGGCUGGAAUGAAUGGUUGAAUGAAAUAUUAACUGUCUCAUUUUUAAAAUUGUAAAAAUUUAGCUUUUAAGUCAAAAGGCUUAAAUAAAUUUAGAGGACGAGAAGACCCUAUAGAUCUUUAUAUUUUAUAAAAUUUUAUAAAAUAGAAAAAUAAUAUAUGAAUUUUUAUAAAAUAUUUUAUUGGGGUGAUAGGAAAAUUAAAUAAACUUUUCUUUACUUAAAACAUUGAUUUAUGAAUAAUUGAUCCAUUUUUAGUGAUUAUAAGAUUAAGUUACCUUAGGGAUAACAGCGUAAUUUUUUUAGAGAGUUCAUAUCGAUAAAAAAGAUUGCGACCUCGAUGUUGAAUUAAAGGUUAUUUCUAGAUGUAGCAGUUUAGAGUUUAGGUCUGUUCGACCUUUAAAUCUU
Molecule: ribosomal RNA, 509 nt
Filed under: Chrysopa excepta
Lineage: Eukaryota; Metazoa; Arthropoda; Insecta; Neuroptera; Chrysopidae
Description: partial large subunit ribosomal RNA
Rfam family: Bacterial large subunit ribosomal RNA
Source: RNAcentral